AACGAACGCUGGCGGCAUGCCUAACACAUGCAAGUCGAACGAGACCUUCGGGUCUAGUGGCGCACGGGUGCGUAACGCGUGGGAACCUGCCCUUAGGUUCGGAAUAACUCCCCGAAAGGGGUGCUAAUACCGGAUAAUGUCUUCGGACCAAAGAUUUAUCGCCUUUGGAUGGGCCCGCGUUGGAUUAGCUAGUUGGUAGGGUAAAAGCCUACCAAGGCGACGAUCCAUAGCUGGUCUGAGAGGAUGAUCAGCCACACUGGGACUGAGACACGGCCCAGACCCCUACGGGGGGCAGCAGGGGGGAAUAUUGGACAGGGGGCAAAAGCCUAAUCCAGCAAUGCCGGGGGAGUGAUGAAGGCCUUAGGGUUGUAAAGCUCUUUUACCCGGGAUGAAAAUGACAGUACCGGGAAAAUAAGCUCCGGCUAACUCCGU
RNAcentral lists this ribosomal RNA (432 nucleotides) under uncultured bacterium. RNAcentral describes it as "partial 16S ribosomal RNA". It matches the Rfam family "Bacterial small subunit ribosomal RNA", at positions 29 to 506 of the family's 1533-position model. The record is from RNAcentral.